This 506-nucleotide ribosomal RNA is filed under the name uncultured bacterium. Its description in RNAcentral is "partial 16S ribosomal RNA". It matches the Rfam family "Bacterial small subunit ribosomal RNA", at positions 29 to 523 of the family's 1533-position model. The record is from RNAcentral.
AGUGAACGCUGGCGGUAGGCCUAACACAUGCAAGUCGAACGGCAGCACAGGAGAGCUUGCUCUCUGGGUGGCGAGCGGCGGACGGGUGAGGAAUACAUCGGAAUCUACUCUGUCGUGAGGGAUAACGUAGGGAAACUUACGCUAAUACCGCAUACGACCUACGGGUGAAAGCAGGGGACCUUCGGGCCUUGCGCGAUUGAAUGAGCCGAUGUCGGAUUAGCUAGUUGGCGGGGUAAAGGCCCACCAAGGCGACGAUCCGUAGCUGGUCUGAGAGGAUGAUCAGCCACACUGGAACUGAGACACGGUCCAGACUCCUACGGGAGGCAGCAGUGGGGAAUAAUGGACAAUGGGCGCAAGCCUGAUCCAGCCAUACCGCGUGGGUGAAGAAGGCCUUCAGGUUGUAAAGCCCUUUUGUUGGGAAAGAAAUCCAGCUGGCUAAUACCCGGUUGGGAUGACGGUACCCAAAGAAUAAGCACCGGCUAACUUCGUGCCAGCCGCCGCGGUAA